RNAcentral lists this ribosomal RNA (466 nucleotides) under uncultured bacterium. RNAcentral describes it as "partial 16S ribosomal RNA". It matches the Rfam family "Bacterial small subunit ribosomal RNA", at positions 28 to 507 of the family's 1533-position model. The record is from RNAcentral.
GAUGAACGUUGGCGGCGUGCUUAACACAUGCAAGUCGAACGGAAAGGCUCCUGCUUUCAGGGGUACUCGAGUGGCGAACGGGUGAGUAACACGUGGGUGAUCUGCCCUGCACUUCGGGAUAAGCCUGGGAAACUGGGUCUAAUACCGGAUAGGACGAUGGUUUGGAUGCCAUUGUGGAAAGUUUUUUCGGUGUGGGAUGAGCUCGCGGCCUAUCAGCUUGUUGGUGGGGUAAUGGCCUACCAAGGCGUCGACGGGUAGCCGGCCUGAGAGGGUGUACGGCCACAUUGGGACUGAGAUACGGCCCAGACUCCUACGGGAGGCAGCAGUGGGGAAUAUUGCACAAUGGGCGCAAGCCUGAUGCAGCGACGCCGCGUGGGGGAUGACGGCCUUCGGGUUGUAAACUCCUUUCGCUAGGGACGAAGCGCAAGUGACGGUACCUGGAGAAGAAGCACCGGCUAACUACGUG